Molecule: ribosomal RNA, 321 nt
Filed under: uncultured eukaryote
Lineage: Eukaryota
Description: partial 18S ribosomal RNA
Rfam family: Eukaryotic small subunit ribosomal RNA
Source: RNAcentral
CCCUUAGAUGUUCUGGGCCGCACGCGUGCUACACUGAGUGGAUCAGCGGGUCAGGUUGCGCGAAAGCGUUUCCUAAUCUUUAAAUCCGCUCGUGAUGGGGAUUGACGGUUGCAAUUUUCUGUCAUGAACGAGGAAUACCUUGUAAGCGCGGGUCAUCAUCCCGCGCUGAAUACGUCCCUGCCCUUUGUACACACCGCCCGUCGCUCCUACCGAUUGAAUGGUCCGGUGAAGCCUCGGGAUUGUGGCUGGUUUCCUUUAUUGGAGGUCGGUUGCGAGAACUUGUCUAAACCUUAUCAUUUAGAGGAAGGUGAAGUCGUAACA